AUGUGGCGCACAACGAGUUUCCUAGGCCGAUAGGAUUAUUGUCUCCUAGCCCGUAUCUCCAGGAUCCAGGCCAUAUCCCUGCUCCCAGUGGUUUCCAUCACGUGUCCUUGCUUAUUUGUGUUGUGGUGAUUGUGUCUCAGCCUAGGAGACACUGGGCAAUCUGAGAGAGCGCUACGUGACUGGGCUAGACUUUUGUAAUUGUUGGUCUUGAACGAGGAAUGCCUAGUAAUCGUAGGUCAUUAUCCUGCGAUGAUUAUGUCCCUGCCCUUUGUACACACCGCCCGUCGCUCCUGCCGUGGCUCGUGCCGGUGAAGAGGGGGAGGCAGCGUCAACGGAGUAACAUCUGAUUGUACGUGGAACCCCUCUGAACCUUCGCGAGUAGAGGAAGGAGAAGUCGUAACAAGGUUUUCGUAGGUGAACCUGCGAAAGGAUCAUUAU
RNAcentral lists this ribosomal RNA (438 nucleotides) under Caulerpa taxifolia var. distichophylla. RNAcentral's name for it is "bacterial SSU rRNA". It matches the Rfam family "Eukaryotic small subunit ribosomal RNA", at positions 1502 to 1831 of the family's 1831-position model. Lineage: Eukaryota; Viridiplantae; Chlorophyta; Ulvophyceae; Bryopsidales; Caulerpaceae. The record is from RNAcentral.